Molecule: ribosomal RNA, 438 nt
Filed under: uncultured Bacteroidota bacterium
Lineage: Bacteria; Pseudomonadati; Bacteroidota
Description: bacterial SSU rRNA
Rfam family: Bacterial small subunit ribosomal RNA
Source: RNAcentral
CCUACGGGAGGCAGCAGUAAGGAAUAUUGGUCAAUGGGCGCAAGCCUGAACCAGCCAUGCCGCGUGCAGGAAGACGGCCCUAUGGGUUGUAAACUGCUUUUAUCAGGGAAUAAACCCCCGCUCGUGAGCGGGGCUGAAGGUACCUGAGGAAUAAGCAUCGGCUAACUCCGUGCCAGCAGCCGCGGUAAUACGGAGGAUGCAAGCGUUAUCCGGAUUCAUUGGGUUUAAAGGGUGCGCAGGCGGAUUGGUAAGUCAGGGGUGAAAUCCCACAGCUCAACUGUGGAACUGCCUUUGAUACUGUCAGUCUAGAGUAUAGUUGAAGUUGGCGGAAUGUGUCAUGUAGCGGUGAAAUGCUUAGAUAUGACACAGAACACCGAUCGCGAAGGCAGCUAGCUAGCUAUAACUGACGCUCAUGCACGAAAGCGUGGGGAUCAAACA